UGUCCCCUGGCAAUGGGCAAAGAGACACCUUGUUGGUGGUGUUGUUCUUAUGUCAGUCAGGGGCAGAGCAGACGGCAGUCCUCUGUCUAUCCUAGCUUGAUGCCUGACUUGGUAGACAGAGCUGUUUUUUUGCCUAGGACUCAUAA
RNAcentral lists this small nucleolar RNA (146 nucleotides) under Meriones unguiculatus (Mongolian gerbil). Its description in RNAcentral is "Small nucleolar RNA SNORA48 (ENSMUGG00000025387.1)". It matches the Rfam family "Small nucleolar RNA SNORA48". From Rfam's summary of the family: The snoRNA ACA 48 has been identified to guide pseudouridylation of the residue U3797 in the 28S rRNA subunit. Its host gene EIF4A1 (eukaryotic translation initiation factor 4A1) is shared with U67 and snoRNA mgU6-77 The record is from RNAcentral. Lineage: Eukaryota; Metazoa; Chordata; Mammalia; Rodentia; Muridae.